RNAcentral lists this long non-coding RNA (502 nucleotides) under Carica papaya (papaya). Its description in RNAcentral is "long non-coding RNA (CPAP_LNC001966)". Lineage: Eukaryota; Viridiplantae; Streptophyta; Magnoliopsida; Brassicales; Caricaceae. The record is from RNAcentral.
CACCGUCCUUUUCUCUACAGGUUGACCGGAGCAAAACACCAAACCACAACUCGCGCCGGAGGAGCCGCCGCACCCGACAGCUCCGCUACCGGUAAGCCUCGAUUUUCUGUAAUUUUUUGGCCAACCGAGGGCCUAGAGGUGUUUUAUCACAGGAACCAAUGCAAGUUUGGCCGAAUUCGGCCGAAAACGGCUAGAAACGGCCAACCCAAAGCGGAUCGCCGCUGCGGGCACGGCGCUGUCGCCAGAGCAUGGCGGAGCCGCCGUGCCGAAAUUUCAAAAUUGGCCGAAAGGGCCCUGGGUCUGAUUUGAGGUUUUUUGGGGACAUGUACAGGUACCGGAAGUGUGUUUCAAUUUUCGAAAAAAAAUUCAGAGAAUCUAAGGACGGGCCGUAGACGCAGUGAGAACCCGAUUUCAGACUUCGAAAUAAGUAAGGAUCUCUCACCCUAUUUCCUAUUACGACAUUAAAGCUUAAUAAAUGAUAAAACAGUAUUUAUGAAUUAAU